UGUGGCCAAGUUUUUAAGGGCGCACGGUGGAUGCCUUGGCACCAGGAACCGAUGAAGGACGUGGGAGGCCACGAUAGUCCCCGGGGAGCUGUCAACCAAGCUUUGAUCCGGGGGUUUCCGAAUGGGGAAACCCGGCAGUCGUCAUGGGCUGUCACCCGCUGCUGAACACAUAGGCAGUGUGGAGGGAACGAGGGGAAGUGAAACAUCUCAGUACCCUCAGGAAGAGAAAACAACCGUGAUUCCGGGAGUAGUGGCGAGCGAAACUGGAUGAGGCCAAACCGUAUGCGUGUGAUACCCGGCAGGGGUUGCGCAUGCGGGGUUGUGGGAUCUCUCUUUCACAGUCUGCCGGCUGUGAGGCGAGUCAGAAACCGUUGAUGUAGGCGAAGGACAUGCGAAAGGUCCGGCGUAGAGGGUAAGACCCCCGUAGCUGAAACAUUAACGGCUCGUUUGAGAGACACCCAAGUAGCACGGGGCCCGAGAAAUCCCGUGUGAAUCUGGCGGGACCACCCGCUAAGCCUAAAUAUUCCCUGGUGACCGAUAGCGGAUAGUACCGUGAGGGAAUGGUGAAAAGUACCGCGGGAGCGGAGUGAAAUAGUACCUGAAACCGUGUGCCUACAAGCCGUGGGAGCGUCGCUGGCAGCACUUGUGCUGUCAGUCGUGACUGCGUGCCUUUUGAAGAAUGAGCCUGCGAGUUAGCGGUGUGUAGCGAGGUUAACCCGUGUGGGGAAGCCGUAGCGAAAGCGAGUCCGAACAGGGCGUUUGAGUUGCACGCUCUAGACCCGAAGCGGAGUGAUCUAGCCAUGGGCAGGUUGAAGCGGAGGUAAGACUUCGUGGAGGACCGAACCCACCAGGGUUGAAAACCUGGGGGAUGACCUGUGGUUAGGGGUGAAAGGCCAAUCAAACUCCGUGAUAGCUGGUUCUCCCCGAAAUGCAUUUAGGUGCAGCGUCGUGUGUUUCUUGCCGGAGGUAGAGCACUGGAUAGGCGAUGGGCCCUACCGGGUUACUGACCUUAGCCAAACUCCGAAUGCCGGUAAGUGAGAGCGCGGCAGUGAGACUGUGGGGGAUAAGCUCCAUGGUCGAGAGGGAAACAGCCCAGAGCAUCGACUAAGGCCCCUAAGCGUACGCUAAGUGGGAAAGGAUGUGGAGUCGCAGAGACAACCAGGAGGUUGGCUUAGAAGCAGCCACCCUUGAAAGAGUGCGUAAUAGCUCACUGGUCAAGUGAUUCCGCGCCGACAAUGUAGCGGGGCUCAAGCGUACCGCCGAAGUCGUGUCAUUCAUA
This 1279-nucleotide ribosomal RNA is filed under the name Streptomyces sp. PalvLS-984. Its description in RNAcentral is "bacterial LSU rRNA". It matches the Rfam family "Bacterial large subunit ribosomal RNA", at positions 1 to 1213 of the family's 2925-position model. The record is from RNAcentral. Lineage: Bacteria; Bacillati; Actinomycetota; Actinomycetes; Kitasatosporales; Streptomycetaceae.